RNAcentral lists this ribosomal RNA (250 nucleotides) under uncultured Chroococcidiopsis sp. RNAcentral's name for it is "partial 16S ribosomal RNA". It matches the Rfam family "Bacterial small subunit ribosomal RNA", at positions 796 to 1044 of the family's 1533-position model. Lineage: Bacteria; Bacillati; Cyanobacteriota; Cyanophyceae; Chroococcidiopsidales; Chroococcidiopsidaceae. The record is from RNAcentral.
CUAGCUGUAAACGAUGGAUACUAGGCGUUGAGAGUAUCGACCCUCUCAGUGUCGUAGCUAACGCGUUAAGUAUCCCGCCUGGGGAGUACGCGCGCAAGCGUGAAACUCAAAGGAAUUGACGGGGGCCCGCACAAGCGGUGGGGUAUGUGGUUUAAUUCGAUGCAACGCGAAGAACCUUACCAGGGCUUGACAUGUCCGGAACCCUGCCCAAAGGCGGGGGUGCCUACGGGAACCGGAACACAGGUGGUGC